AUUGAACGCUGGCGGCAGGCUUAACACAUGCAAGUCGAGCGGGGUGAUGGUGCUUGCACUAUCACUUAGCGGCGGACGGGUGAGUAAUGCUUAGGAAUCUGCCUAUUAGUGGGGGACAACAUCUCGAAAGGGAUGCUAAUACCGCAUACGUCCUACGGGAGAAAGCAGGGGAUCACUUGUGACCUUGCGCUAAUAGAUGAGCCUAAGUCGGAUUAGCUAGUUGGUGGGGUAAAGGCCUACCAAGGCGACGAUCUGUAGCGGGUCUGAGAGGAUGAUCCGCCACACGGGGACUGAGACACGGCCCAGACACCUGCGGGAGGCAGCAGUGGGGAAUAUUGGACAAUGGGGGGAACCCUGAUCCAGCCAUGCCGCGUGUGUGAAGAAGGCCUUAUGGUUGUAAAGCACUUUAAGCGAGGAGGAGGCUCUUUUGGUUAAUACCCAAGAUGAGUGGACGUUACUCGCAGAAUAAGCACCGGCUAACUCUGUGCCAGCCGCCGCAGUAA
RNAcentral lists this ribosomal RNA (503 nucleotides) under uncultured bacterium. RNAcentral's name for it is "partial 16S ribosomal RNA". It matches the Rfam family "Bacterial small subunit ribosomal RNA", at positions 30 to 523 of the family's 1533-position model. The record is from RNAcentral.